UGCUGUUACAGCUCUUUUAGAAUUUUUCCAGUAAGAUUUCUGACUUUUGUUGGAAAACCCAA
Molecule: small nuclear RNA, 62 nt
Organism: Rattus norvegicus (Norway rat)
Lineage: Eukaryota; Metazoa; Chordata; Mammalia; Rodentia; Muridae
Product: U7 small nuclear RNA
Source: Ensembl